This 460-nucleotide ribosomal RNA is filed under the name uncultured bacterium. Its description in RNAcentral is "partial 16S ribosomal RNA". It matches the Rfam family "Bacterial small subunit ribosomal RNA", at positions 338 to 795 of the family's 1533-position model. The record is from RNAcentral.
CCUACGGGAGGCAGCAGUGAGGAAUAUUGGUCAAUGGGCGCGAGCCUGAACCAGCCAAGUAGCGUGAAGGAUGACUGCCCUACGGGUUGUAAACUUCUUUUAUAAAGGAAUAAAGUGAGGCACGUGUGCCUUUUUGUAUGUACUUUAUGAAUAAGGAUCGGCUAACUCCGUGCCAGCAGCCGCGGUAAUACGGAGGAUCCGAGCGUUAUCCGGAUUUAUUGGGUUUAAAGGGAGCGUAGAUGGGUUGUUAAGUCAGUUGUGAAAGUUUGCGGCUCAACCGUAAAAUUGCAAUUGAUACUGGCAGCCUUGAGUACAGGUGAGGUAGGCGGAAUGCGUGGUGUAGCGGUGAAAUGCAUAGAUAUCACGCAGAACUCCGAUUGCGAAGGCAGCUUACUAAGCCAUAACUGACACUGAAGCACGAAAGCGUGGGGAUCAAACAGGAUUAGAUACCCCUGUAGUC